Molecule: ribosomal RNA, 1146 nt
Filed under: Clostridium thermosuccinogenes
Lineage: Bacteria; Bacillati; Bacillota; Clostridia; Eubacteriales; Clostridiaceae
Description: bacterial SSU rRNA
Rfam family: Bacterial small subunit ribosomal RNA
Source: RNAcentral
UCCUACGGGAGGCAGCAGUGGGGAAUAUUGCGCAAUGGAGGAAACUCUGACGCAGCAACGCCGCGUGAAGGAUGAAGGUCUUCGGAUUGUAAACUUCUUUGAUGAGGGACGAAGGAAGUGACGGUACCUCAAAAACAAGCCACGGCUAACUACGUGCCAGCAGCCGCGGUAAUACGUAGGUGGCGAGCGUUGUCCGGAAUUACUGGGUGUAAAGGGCGCGUAGGCGGGGAUGUAAGUCAGAUGUGAAAUACCAUGGCUCAACCGUGGGGCUGCAUCUGAAACUAUGUUUCUUGAGUGCUGGAGAGGAAAGCGGAAUUCCUAGUGUAGCGGUGAAAUGCGUAGAUAUUAGGAGGAACACCAGUGGCGAAGGCGGCUUUCUGGACAGUAACUGACGCUGAGGCGCGAAAGCGUGGGGAGCGAACAGGAUUAGAUACCCUGGUAGUCCACGCCGUAAACGAUGGAUACUAGGUGUAGGAGGUAUCGACCCCUUCUGUGCCGGAGUAAACACAAUAAGUAUCCCACCUGGGGAGUACGGCCGCAAGGUUGAAACUCAAAGGAAUUGACGGGGGCCCGCACAAGCAGUGGAGUAUGUGGUUUAAUUCGAAGCAACGCGAAGAACCUUACCAGGGCUUGACAUACAGAGGGAUAUGUCAGAGAUGGCAUAGCUCUUCGGAGCCUCUGUACAGGUGGUGCAUGGUUGUCGUCAGCUCGUGUCGUGAGAUGUUGGGUUAAGUCCCGCAACGAGCGCAACCCUUGUUGUUAGUUGGUAACACGUAAAGGUGACCACUCUAACGAGACUGCCGGUGACAAAUCGGAGGAAGGUGGGGACGACGUCAAAUCAUCAUGCCCCUUAUGUCCUGGGCUACACACGUACUACAAUGGCUACAACAAAGGGAAGCGAAGCCGUAAGGCGGAGCAAAUCCCCAAAAGUAGUCCCAGUUCGGAUUGUGGGCUGCAACCCGCCCACAUGAAGUCGGAAUUGCUAGUAAUGGCAGGUCAGCAUACUGCCGUGAAUACGUUCCCGGGCCUUGUACACACCGCCCGUCACACCAUGAGAGUCAGCAACACCCGAAGUCAGUAGCUUAACCGCAAGGAGGGCGCUGCCGAAGGUGGGGCCGAUGAUUGGGGUGAAGUCGUAACAAGGUA